GGGGACCGGCUUCUAAAAAACUUUAUGCAUGAGGCGCAUGGCUGUGGAGAGGACUACAGCCAUGGUGGUGGUUGGGACUCCAACCUUGAGAGAUUGGUCUUUUUCGGAGAACAGCCGCAUGAAGUGAAGGAAGAAAAGAAGUGAUCUGGAGAAGGGCACCAUGUGAAGAAAAGAGAAAGCUGGCUGCAAGAAGGAAGAUAUCUGGUGGGGGGAAAGGAGAAAGAAAAAGAUCUGAGGAUCCACUCACCCUGACUUCUCUGGGUUCAGUAACCUGAGGAAGAAAAAACAUGGAGGACAAAUGCUUGAUUGCAAAAGAUGUUCCAGGAUUAAUUGGGAAUACCCCAUUGGUGUAUCUGAACAAAGUUGUGGGUGGUUGUUUAGCCCGUAUUGCAGUGAAGCUAAAGGCAAUGGAGAACUGCUGUAGUGUUAAAGAUACGUAUAUACUUUAAUCUCCUUUCAUUCACCUGAUUAUGAAAAUGCUUUUAAUUUGAGAUAGGGGAUUAGGCGACUCAACUUUGUAAGAUCCAGGGCCAGCUUACUUGCAUCAUUUCAUGGAUCCACUCUCAGGGAGCCUCGAGCUCUCCUCCACCUCGUCCACCCCCCCUACUUCAAAUGCUUAGUUGUCUCUAUUUACUUUGCUAGCUUUUUGUUUAUCUGGAUUAUAUUUAUUAUCUUUUUAUAUUUUUUGCAUCCAGAAUUAUGAUUUUAUAUGAUGCAUUAUCUUUUGUCUUUCUUAUUUUAUGUUUCCAUUUGUGCAUACUUUGCCAUUUUUGUGACAAAAACAGGGAGAUUACUAAAUAAAAUGUGGGGGAGAUAUAAAAGGAACUUAAUAAAUAAAAGGGGGAGAUUAAUAAAUAAAAUUUGGGGGUGAGUUUAAGUAGUUAGGAGGAGUUUUUAUUUAUUUAUGUUUAAAGAAAAAAAAAACCUUGAAUGCAUAUUUUGUGAUUUUGGGGCCGGGGAAGUUAUUUGAAAUAUCGGAGGAAACUAAACUUGAAAUAUUAGGAGAAAUCAAAUUACUUGUUAAGUACAUGCUUUCAAAGUUUGAGAGAGAUACCUAAUACGAAUGUUUCCUACAAAAUAUUACUUAACCUAUCGAUUACAUGUGAUAAAAGCUCGAGAGGGCACUUGUCAAGGAUGUUUCUUGCAAAAUAUUUCUUUUUGAUUUGUUUAACUCUUUUGCAAAAUGUUUCCUUGUGUAGAAACUGUUGGUAAAAGUUAUUGGUCCUUCGCUUGAGAUCAUCAACUCUUUGCAUAGCUUUUCUUAUGCUUCAUUGAGUUGCAUGUAAUCAUGUGUGUCUAUUUGGACUUUGUACAUUGGUUUCCUUACAAUAUUGUGUUUCUUUUUCAAUCUUUCACAAUGCGUUAAUCAAAAUAUCCAACUAUCGUGUUUUACUUUUUCAAUUAUGUUAUAUCACGCACAUUACUUUACCUAUGGUAUAGUGUUUUUUGUUUUUGUUUUGUUUUUUCAUGUGUGUAGGUUAUAGGAGUAGGAGACACGUACUACAAGAUGAUUAAUGCUUUUCAUCUAUUCUUUUUAAAUAAGGGUUCUUGAGUGUUAUGUAAACUCCAAUAUGAGAGUUUUAAGGGGGUUUAUAUAAUGAAGUUUUGUCAUAAAAUUGCGAAAGGGGGAGAUUACUAGGACAUUGAGUCUUUUUUGUGU
Long non-coding RNA from Vitis riparia (riverbank grape), 1660 nucleotides. RefSeq lists it as uncharacterized. NCBI's taxonomy places the organism in Eukaryota, Viridiplantae, Streptophyta, Magnoliopsida, Vitales, Vitaceae. The transcript is spliced from 3 exons. The record is from RefSeq and is a predicted model, not a curated record.